UUUUUGUUGCCUUUUGGCUGUUGUCUAAUAAAAUCGUCACCUUUCAAAAAAAAAAAAAACUGUCAUGUGGGCCAGAAUGUUAGAAAGUAGCAGACAGCGUAGAAAAACUUGCCAAGUUUUUUUUUCCCUGUGACUUUCCAUUUGUUUCAUAAACUGUGGCCCACAUGAUCAAUCUAGUAGCCUUGAAUUUGGGUGAGGGCAUCAUAUCUUGUGGGAUCCACCUGAUGGUCGACUUGAAAUUGGGUGGUGCACAUAUACAUCGAAAACAGGCUGUUGGUUGGCCCCUUUUAACCGUCCACUGUCUUGUACACAUGCUGCUUGAUGAUCAGCAGGCAAAAAUAUGAGCUACUAAACAUUCAUCAUGGGGCCGGCAUGAUGAAUAGCGUGGAACUACAUGUAGGUGCUGUUGUAGGCAUGGGUGGGAUAGUUGUGCAUAUGCCAAUCUGCGGCUAGGAAUAUUUAUCCUCAAUGACCUGACUUGAGAAACCUGACUGAUGUGUUGGUGUUAUUUUAUUUUGGUUUGCAGGUGAAUCUUGCCUUCUGCUAAACUGGUGAACCCUGAACUUGUGGCGCGGUCAGAACCAGUUGCUGAGUUGCUUGAUUUGGAUCUGAAAGAGGGUUGUCGGCUGGAUUGCUUAGGCAAGCUACAUACACAAUAGCACGACUUGGGUCAUUUAGAGGCAGAGUCAUUCGGCGCAGAGCCGCUAGGGGAUGCAGCCCCUGCAGAUGCAGACCCUGAAGAUGCUAGAGGUAA
This is a long non-coding RNA of Magnolia sinica, 754 nucleotides long. RefSeq lists it as uncharacterized. NCBI's taxonomy places the organism in Eukaryota, Viridiplantae, Streptophyta, Magnoliopsida, Magnoliales, Magnoliaceae. The transcript has 3 exons. The record is from RefSeq and is a predicted model, not a curated record.